This 497-nucleotide ribosomal RNA is filed under the name uncultured bacterium. RNAcentral describes it as "partial 16S ribosomal RNA". It matches the Rfam family "Bacterial small subunit ribosomal RNA", at positions 28 to 507 of the family's 1533-position model. The record is from RNAcentral.
GAUGAACGCUGGCGGCGUGCCUAAUACAUGCAAGUCGAGCGAACAGACGAGGAGCUUGCUCCUCUGACGUUAGCGGCGGACGGGUGAGUAACACGUGGAUAACCUACCUAUAAGACUGGGAUAACUUCGGGAAACCGGAGCUAAUACCGGAUAAUAUAUUGAACCGCAUGGUUCAAUAGUGAAAGACGGUUUUGCUGUCACUUAUAGAUGGAUCCGCGCCGCAUUAGCUAGUUGGUAAGGUAACGGCUUACCAAGGCAACGAUGCGUAGCCGACCUGAGAGGGUGAUCGGCCACACUGGAACUGAGACACGGUCCAGACUCCUACGGGAGGCAGCAGUAGGGAAUCUUCCGCAAUGGGCGAAAGUCUGACGGAGCAACGCCGCGUGAGUGAUGAAGGUCUUCGGAUCGUAAAACUCUGUUAUUAGGGAAGAACAAAUGCGUAAGUAACUAUGCACGUCUUGACGGUACCUAAUCAGAAAGCCACGGCUAACUACGUG